GCCCCGAUAGUGUAGUCCGGCCAAUCAUCCUGGCUUUUCGAGCCAGGGACGUGGGUUCGAAUCCCGCUCGGGGCA
RNAcentral lists this transfer RNA (75 nucleotides) under Bacillota bacterium. RNAcentral's name for it is "tRNA-Glu". It matches the Rfam family "tRNA". From Rfam's summary of the family: Transfer RNA (tRNA) molecules are approximately 80 nucleotides in length. Their secondary structure includes four short double-helical elements and three loops (D, anti-codon, and T loops). The record is from RNAcentral. Lineage: Bacteria; Bacillati; Bacillota.